AGUAUUUAGUUUAGUUCCAAUUCUAUAUUUUAGUUUAGUUAGUUCAAAUUAGUUGGGACUAAAAAUAAUUUUGCUGUCAUUUUAAGUAAAUCUCGUGCGGCUCGUAUUUACAUCGAGUCGUUCGAGAUUUACUUUUAUUGAUGGUGAAAUAAGCAUCACAUUCGAUAUUUGAUUUAGUUUUGAAGACACGUGAUCGCCCUUCUUCUGGCCGGAAUCAUGGUCUUGAAGAAGAUCAUGUCCCAGAAGGGAGGUGGCGGCGGUGGUCACGAGAGCCACGGUUGGUCUUCUGGCGGCAGCAGCGGCGGAUGGGACAGACGGUCCUAUGA
RNAcentral lists this unclassified non-coding RNA (326 nucleotides) under Pectinophora gossypiella (pink bollworm). RNAcentral describes it as "uncharacterized LOC126377200". The stretch from base 69 to 148 matches the Rfam family "mir-2767 microRNA precursor family". Lineage: Eukaryota; Metazoa; Arthropoda; Insecta; Lepidoptera; Gelechiidae. The record is from RNAcentral.